Molecule: non-coding RNA, 112 nt
Filed under: Blautia sp. CAG:37
Lineage: Bacteria; Bacillati; Bacillota; Clostridia; Lachnospirales; Lachnospiraceae
Also listed under: 1 other name
Description: SAM riboswitch aptamer (S box leader)
Rfam family: SAM riboswitch aptamer (S box leader)
About the family: The SAM riboswitch is found upstream of a number of genes which code for proteins involved in methionine or cysteine biosynthesis in Gram-positive bacteria. The SAM riboswitch acts at the level of transcription termination control.
Source: Rfam by way of RNAcentral
CUCUUAUUCAGAGUGGUGGAGAUACAUAGGAUCUGUGAAACCACGGCAACCCCCGGCAGAUUGGUCUGCAUGGGAAGGUGCCAGCCUGAGCGAAAUUUUCGAACAAUAAGGG